Molecule: transfer RNA, 71 nt
Filed under: Diaphorina citri (Asian citrus psyllid)
Lineage: Eukaryota; Metazoa; Arthropoda; Insecta; Hemiptera; Psyllidae
Rfam family: tRNA
About the family: Transfer RNA (tRNA) molecules are approximately 80 nucleotides in length. Their secondary structure includes four short double-helical elements and three loops (D, anti-codon, and T loops).
Source: Rfam by way of RNAcentral
GCCUAGUUAGCUUAGUUGGUAGUGCGUCUGCCUUGUAAGGCUGGCCGCGGGUUCGAUUCCCGCCCGGGGCG